This 339-nucleotide unclassified non-coding RNA is filed under the name soil metagenome. RNAcentral's name for it is "partial contains 5.8S ribosomal RNA, internal transcribed spacer 2, and large subunit ribosomal RNA". The stretch from base 1 to 120 matches the Rfam family "5.8S ribosomal RNA", at positions 35 to 154 of the family's 154-position model. The record is from RNAcentral.
GAAGAAGAACGUAGCGAAAUGCGAUACGUAGUGUGAAUUGCAGAAUUCAGUGAAUCAUCGAAUCUUUGAACGCACAUUGCACCUCUCGGUAUUCCGGGAGGUAUGCCUGUUCGAGCGUCAUUUGUACCCUCAAGCUCUGCUUGGUGUUGGGUGUUUGUUCCGCCUCUGUGUGUGAACUCGCCUCAAAACAAUUGGCAGCCGGCGUACUUGUUUCGGAGCGCAGCACAUUUUGCGAUCCAGAUCAACGUACAGCGGCAUCCAAGAAGCCUUAUUUAACGCUCUUGACCUCGGAUCAGGUAGGGAUACCCGCUGAACUUAAGCAUAUCAAUAAGCGGAGGA